UACGGAGGGUGCAAGCGUUAUCCGGAUUCACUGGGUUUAAAGGGUGUGUAGGCGGGUACAUAAGUCAGUGGUGAAAUCUCCGGGCUCAACCCGGAAACUGCCAUUGAUACUAUGUGUCUUGAAUUUUGUUGAGGAGGGCGGAAUAUGUCAUGUAGCGGUGAAAUGCUUAGAUAUGACAUAGAACACCGAUUGCGAAGGCAGCUCUCUAAGCAAACAUUGACGCUGAGGCACGAAAGCGUGGGGAUCAAACAGG
Molecule: ribosomal RNA, 253 nt
Filed under: uncultured bacterium
Lineage: Bacteria
Description: partial 16S ribosomal RNA
Rfam family: Bacterial small subunit ribosomal RNA
Source: RNAcentral